CGGGCAUUUCGUACUUGAUUGGCCAGACAGCAAGCGAAGAUGAAAGCAAUCAACUGCAAAAAAAAAAAAAAAAAACAAAUAAAAAUUAAACAGAAUACAAUAAAUAUAUUUGUCUGCUCCAGAACUGCAAGAAUGUUCUGGAACAGAGCAUAUGUGUACACACCUCAAUACCGGCAACACCCAAGCCAGCAUAACGAAUGAUAUCAAUGUUCUUGGACCACAUUCUGUCGAAUGCUGUUUUACAACCGGGACGUGGAAGGGCCUCCACCAAA
This is a long non-coding RNA of Musca domestica (house fly), 272 nucleotides long. RefSeq lists it as uncharacterized. The transcript has 2 exons. NCBI's taxonomy places the organism in Eukaryota, Metazoa, Arthropoda, Insecta, Diptera, Muscidae. The record is from RefSeq and is a predicted model, not a curated record.